RNAcentral lists this non-coding RNA (45 nucleotides) under Schistosoma mattheei. The record is from RNAcentral. Lineage: Eukaryota; Metazoa; Platyhelminthes; Trematoda; Strigeidida; Schistosomatidae.
GCUCAACUGACGAAUCCUGAAUAGGACGAAACGCGCGUCCUGGAU